Molecule: transfer RNA, 72 nt
Filed under: Bacteroidales bacterium
Lineage: Bacteria; Pseudomonadati; Bacteroidota; Bacteroidia; Bacteroidales
Also listed under: 1 other name
Description: tRNA-Arg
Rfam family: tRNA
About the family: Transfer RNA (tRNA) molecules are approximately 80 nucleotides in length.
Source: RNAcentral
GCCCUUGUAGUUCAACGGAUAGAACGGAAGUUUCCUAAACUUUUGAUAAGGGUUCGAUUCCCUUCGGGGGUA